GAAUAUUAAUUCAUUAUGGUUAUUAUAAAAAUUGACUGGCAGUCAAGAGGUCGUGGGUUCGAGUCCCAUCUUCUCCA
This 77-nucleotide transfer RNA is filed under the name Aquimarina algiphila. RNAcentral describes it as "tRNA-Ala". Lineage: Bacteria; Pseudomonadati; Bacteroidota; Flavobacteriia; Flavobacteriales; Flavobacteriaceae. The record is from RNAcentral.